ACCGCGGAUAAAAUGUGGUGCGG
RNAcentral lists this non-coding RNA (23 nucleotides) under Arabidopsis thaliana (thale cress). Lineage: Eukaryota; Viridiplantae; Streptophyta; Magnoliopsida; Brassicales; Brassicaceae. The record is from RNAcentral.